CCUACGGGUGACAGCAGUGAGGAAUAUUGGUCAAUGGACGAGAGUCUGAACCAGCCAAGUAGCGUGAAGGAUGACUGCCCUAUGGGUUGUAAACUUCUUUUAUAUGGGAAUAAAAUGUUCCACGUGUGGGAUUUUGUAUGUACCAUAUGAAUAAGGAUCGGCUAACUCCGUGCCAGCAGCCGCGGUAAUACGGAGGAUCCGAGCGUUAUCCGGAUUUAUUGGGUUUAAAGGGAGCGUAGGUGGAUUGUUAAGUCAGUUGUGAAAGUUUGCGGCUCAACCGUAAAAUUGCAGUUGAAACUGGCAGUCUUGAGUACAGGAGAGGUGAGCGGAAUUCGUGGUGUAGCGGUGAAAUGCUUAGAUAUCACGAAGAACUCCGAUUGCGAAGGCAGUUCACUGGACUGCAACUGACACUGAGGCUCGAAAGUGUGGGUAUCAAACAGGAUUAAAUACCCGAGUAGUC
RNAcentral lists this ribosomal RNA (460 nucleotides) under uncultured bacterium. Its description in RNAcentral is "partial 16S ribosomal RNA". It matches the Rfam family "Bacterial small subunit ribosomal RNA", at positions 338 to 795 of the family's 1533-position model. The record is from RNAcentral.